Molecule: transfer RNA, 69 nt
Filed under: Algyroides nigropunctatus
Lineage: Eukaryota; Metazoa; Chordata; Lepidosauria; Squamata; Lacertidae
Description: tRNA-Cys
Source: RNAcentral
AGCUCUGUAGUAUUAAUAUAAAAACACCAAAAUGCAAAUUUGGAGACGUACCUUUGAGUGCCGGGGCUU